UCUGGUUCUGAUUUUAACUAAGAAAAGAUUGGGAGUUAAUUAUCACUCACUCCUUCCCUUUUCCUUUUCACGCUAAGCAGCUCUAACCCCUUUCUCAUCCUCUCUGCAUUUCACCGACUCAUAAACGAAGCAAGCACACUCACAUGCACGGAGAAGAAAUCUAAGAAAGAGAGGCAGCGUCGAUGGAAGAGGAAGACGCGCUAGAACUGGUAGGCCGCGCUGCUGCUGUCGCCGCGCCAUCGAGUCGUCGCCGCCGAACCGCCUACGAGUAACAGAACCGCGAAGAAUAAGAGUGCACGAAGAGAGACAGGGAGCCGAUUAUGCCACCACCGCCGCGUUCUGCCGCCGUUCCCCGUCACCACUCGUAUUGCCGGCGCCGUCCUCGUCUGAACCGUCGCCAGAUCCGCCGCCGUUUAAGUCGCGAACAGGAGAACGCACGCGAAGGAAACCAUCGCGGAGCUCCUCGCCGCCGCUGCUGGCACCGGAAAACCAUGGCUGCAGCCGCCAGAGGACGCCCCUGCAGCUGCCAAACCCCAUCCCCUUCCAGUUUGGGUUCCGGCUCUGGUUCGUUUAUGCUGGGUUUUGUUCCCCUGAGUGUCGGAGCCGCCAUUCUCUUGUGAGUUCUUCCUCUGCUGGUUAAAGUCGCCGCUGUUGGAGCUUGCCGGAGUUAACCGCUGGAGCUGUGGCUGUGCUGUACUUAGUUUCUUGUUGGUAGAAGUAGCUGUGGUUGCUACAAAAGUGGUUUAGAGUUGAGGAUGAGACUGCCGCAUUGUGGGCCGAGAGGAAAACUGAGUUUAUCGCGUAGCUAAGUCGUAAACGAGAUUUACCUUUUCAGGAACCGGAUGAAGAAGCAUUAAGAAGAGUUAUACUGCGUUUGGUUUAUAUGCUGUUAUAUUGAUUAGAUUAUUUUUUUUCCCUCGUCUUUGUUAUUACAAGUUUGUAAGAGGGAUAGGAAUUGUAUGUUUUAUAUGUAUAAUAUAUUGAAUUAUUAUGUAAGGAGUCUUGUAUAUGAAUGUAUGCCUGUUUUGUAUUUUUCUUAAGAUAAAGUAUUUAUUUAUGGUUUUCAAAGAAAUCAGCGAUAUAGUGUCGAAUCACAGGCUCCUAUUUUAUUAUUUAGUAUGUAAAGUGGUUGUAACACUUCUUGCUAUCAGAAUAGUGCAGCCGGAAGCGUGACUUCUGAUAGAGAGGGUGUUACAGCAACUGUAAAUAUGCAUUUGGAUAACUAUCCACUUCAGAAAUCACUUUAAAAUUCGGGCACAAUUUCAAGAAUUAUUUUGAGAUUUAACUCGUAAACUAUUUACGUAACUCAAGUUGGUUCAUCCUCCCCAUCUUUUGCAAUAUAAUGAUACAUUGUAUCCCUUAAGAUGGGGACUAAUUCCCUCUAAAAACGAGGUGAAAAGGGGAAAAGGUCAACAAUUUUUCUC
Molecule: long non-coding RNA, 1424 nt
Organism: Arachis duranensis
Lineage: Eukaryota; Viridiplantae; Streptophyta; Magnoliopsida; Fabales; Fabaceae
Exons: 3
Source: RefSeq, a predicted model, not a curated record